CUUACACAUGUCGCACACACACAUACUCAUACCGCUCACAUUUACACAUGUCCCACACACACUCAUACUGCAAACACACAUGUAUUUACAUGUGGAAAAACAUAUUGAGUCUGACUUAUCUCACCAAACAUUCUGGUUGGUCUCGGGUUUCAUCCACCUUCCCCUGGGAUGAUAGGAUUUACUAUUUCUUUGCGUUAUUCAUGCACUCCGAGUUCUCCCCAACCACCCAUCUGGCUGCUGUGAACAGGGUUAGCCUUGAUGUGACCUGCACUUCCCAUGGCUGGGGGAAACCUGCCGAGGAGGCACUUCUUGAGGAGGCUCCUGCUGUCCUAACCCCUCUCUGCUGUGACAAACGUCAAGAAGUGAGCUGGGCGGUUUCUUUCUCUUUGCGGGUGCCUGUGAAGGGUAAAAGCGGAAGCUGAGGAUUGGGGGGAACCCUCUUCCUGAGAACCCAGACCCCUGCAGGGUUCCUAAAGGUUGUGAGAACUGCCAAGGCCGAGGGCUGGUAAGACCCUGGAUGGAUACACCUCAUGAUGCAGGUGGCGUGCACUAAACCCAAAUCCUGUGGCCUCCGCUUUGGCAGAAGCAGAGACCAUCAAGUCAAGAGUUAUGAGAAUGUGGACCGGUGUUACCUUACUCAGGGAACAAACGAGACCCCUCCUUAGACACUUCCCUCUGCAGAAAGUCUCACAGGCUUUGCCAGAAGGAGUGACCCUAUUAGGCAUCCAAGGGCACCUUCAUGUUGAAUGAAGCACUUGCAAGGUAAGCCUCUUGUAAUGGUAAAACCUCUUGAGUGUCCUUGAGCCUGGAGCCUCAAGUUCGAGUCCUAGUGGGGGCUUCUCCAAACGUCAGAGAAAGUGCUAGAAAACGUAAAUAAGGGAUCCACAAGAGCAUAGGACUCGAAAGUAGACCAGAACCUCCUUUCUCAGUCAUGGAGGAGCUGGGAGCUUGGCUCCGAUCCAGUCACCUUACAGGAGCACUACAAGAUUGAUCUUGGAGGGACCCUGGUCUCUUGGGUUACAAGAGCCAAACAUUAUUGACAGCUUUAGGCUAAGAGAUGAAAGAGCACUAUGGGCUUUCAGACUGCCCAGGCUUGGAUUCUGUCCCUGUUUAUUAACUGUCUGACCAUAAAUGAAAUUUUAAUCUGUCCCUUUCUCCCUUCUUCUUCCUUUCUCUCACCCCCAUCCCUCCACCCCAUCAUCCUCCCUCCUUUACUUCCUUCUUUCCUUGCCUCAGUUUCCUUAUCUGCUAAUCAGUUUUAUCAUGAGUCUGUAACACAGUAGGCCCGUUGCCACAAUCACUGCACAAGCUCCCAUCAAGUCUCCCCACGGUAUGAUUAAUAUCAGCAAACAUUAGCCGCAACUAUUCUGCUUGCCAUUAUUUUCAAUAUGCCUGCCCCCCCUUCCCCCCGCCGACCUCCUCUCUCUAGACCUAGAGGCAAUACGAAAAGAUCCAAGGGAACCAAUCUGAAGUCAUGUAACCAGGGUGCAAAAUGUUCAUUGUCCGACGUGACUACGGUCUUCUGUUCUCUCUGAGCUCGCCUUCCCAGUGGCUUGUCACGGUCCCAACUCACUGGCCCUCUGGUUCACUUUGGCCGCUGGCACCAUCAUGGCUGAAGCUCACUGCCUUCCUCUUUUCUUUGCAGUGAAGUUCCCCAGCAGGGCCGACCUCUCUAGUAAUGGGACGGGAUCAAGGUAGCAUUCUUCCAUAUUCACCGACCCAGAGACCAACCGUAGAAGCCACUACCUCUCUCAAGAGAGAUGUGCCUGGGAGGUGUACCGCAUGCUCCGAGCAGACCAGAAAUGCGAAGGGUCUGCCUUUGGUGCAGAGAUUCCCAUCUGACAUACGGCCGUACCACCAUGAACGCACACUGGAUCUCGUCUGAUCUCUGGAGCUAAGCAGGGUCGGCCCUGCAGGAUAAACUCAGCUGUGACUGUUUGGAAAGUUUGGGAGUCAUCCAGUGCGCACCAUGCAGCUCUGGCAUAAGCCUCAUUUCUCCUCCGAGUAUCCUUUUGAGUCUGCCUGUCUGGAGGACUGCAAGAGCAGAGCCCGGGUUGAAUCUGCUGUUCUAACUGGACCUCGCCCUGCUUGGCAAGUGCCUCGCGGGACCCCCCCUUAAACGCCUGGGCAUGCAUGAUCUCUGAGUGUCAGUUAGCUCACCUCACUGUGAGAGGGGCCUAUCCCGUGCAUCUGUCAGUAAAUUAAUAAGAGGAAGCACAAACACAUAGAACCUCCUCCCCUUGCUCGUGGACACAGGGUGGAGGCCCCUCCAGGCUGCCCACACUCUGGCUCUCAUUGCCUUCUGAGACUGUUGAUUGACAAGAGCUACGAGGUGCUCGUCUGAGCUGAGUCAAGUUUAAGAAAGCUGCAGUUUAGGAUGUCAGCUGGGGGGGGGGGGUUCACUGUCCUGUCUAAAAAAACAGUAAGAAAGGAAAAACAUAUUAAAAGGCUUGGUGGUUUAUGUUAAAAUUGUUGAACUGAAGCCAUGAGACAGACAUUGUCUAGCGAGCAGACUUUUCGGGUCUGCCUUAAAUUACACAACCUAAUUCCCCGAAAAAUAAGCCCAGAUUUGGGAUUUUACCUACCCCCCCAUGGUCUUUCUCUCACUCUGCUCCUCCUUAAUGCUUGCUCCAUCUUUGUCGAAAUACAAACUCAAAGGAAAGGUUAUAUACGACUUGGAUGAGGCAAUUGAGAGGGAUCCUGCCUUUUUGAAAUGUGCAUUUAAAUAUCUGUGUAAUUUGUCUGAGUAUGAGGUUCUGUGGACAGGGUUCAGCUCAGUUCGGGCAGCGGCAGAAUACAUCAAAGGCAGAGACCACACCACCAGCUCCAUUAGUCUGUUUUGUGUUACUGUAACAAAAUACCCGAGGCAGGUUACUCUUAAAGCUUUGGAGGCGAGAGCUCAAGAAAACAAGAUUCAGGCUUGUGUCACCUCGUGGAAAGCGCCUGUGACAUCGGCUCUACAGAAUCACAGAGGGAACCUCAUGCAUCUGCAGAAGCUCUGUCCCCUCCGAGUGAGACCAGCUGGUGACUCUUCCAGGGGUCUUCAGGACCCUAGGCUUCAGACUGCUUCUUAGUAACUUUCACCCCUCAUUACUGUUACUACCCUUGUAACUGAGUAGAUUAUUUCACGGCCAAGAGCAUUCCUUGUGCCUGAAAAGGAUGAACUUUUUCCACAGUUUCCUGUGGUGUGAUCCCGGGGUGAAAACUAUCUGCCUGUGUUGGUGUGUACAGCUUUUGUCGGAUGACUCUGAAGGUCACACUUUGAGAUCCGCCUGUUUAGCGUGUGUUCCUUAAAAUGUGUCUCUGCACAAAGGGCAUGCUUCAUGACGACACUCGCUUACACACACAUAAAGUAUUCCAAUCAGAGCGGCCUCUGUCACUCUUUCUCGUCCAA
Long non-coding RNA from Mesocricetus auratus (golden hamster), 3394 nucleotides. RefSeq lists it as uncharacterized. The record is from RefSeq and is a predicted model, not a curated record. The transcript has 3 exons. NCBI's taxonomy places the organism in Eukaryota, Metazoa, Chordata, Mammalia, Rodentia, Cricetidae.